GAUACGGCGUUGUUUCGGGACCGUUGGGGCAUUGUAUCCAAGGGAAGUGGGCCCUGGACAUGUGCCUAGGAUCGAUGGGGAUGGUCGAUACAUGUGAACCCGUCGUGGUACGCAUAUGUUGUGUGUUUACGUCCACCUUGCAAGGUUAAUAAAUUCGAUUUGAAUCAUCUGCUUCUCACAGCUUGGGACUGCUUGACCGCCUUUUUGCACUGAGUAAGAAGAGGAACAAAGGAUGAUGAUUAAUAUUGAUGUUUGAUUAAUUUGCUUGUUCUACCAUGCUUUC
Molecule: long non-coding RNA, 283 nt
Filed under: Setaria viridis
Lineage: Eukaryota; Viridiplantae; Streptophyta; Magnoliopsida; Poales; Poaceae
Description: long non-coding RNA (SVIR_LNC000578)
Source: RNAcentral